This 253-nucleotide ribosomal RNA is filed under the name uncultured bacterium. Its description in RNAcentral is "partial 16S ribosomal RNA". It matches the Rfam family "Bacterial small subunit ribosomal RNA", at positions 524 to 776 of the family's 1533-position model. The record is from RNAcentral.
UACAGAGGGUGCGAGCGCUAAUCGGAAUUACUGGGCGUAAAGCGCGCGUAGGCGGCUUUUCAAGUCGAUUGUGAAAUCCCCGGGCUUAACCUGGGAACUGCGUUUGAAACUACAAGGCUAGAGUGUAGCAGAGGGGGGUGGAAUUCCACGUGUAGCAGUGAAAUGCGUAGAGAUGUGGAGGAACACCGAUGGCGAAGGCAGCCCCCUGGGUUAACACUGACGCUCAGGCACGAAAGCGUGGGGAGCAAACAGG